RNAcentral lists this long non-coding RNA (296 nucleotides) under Elaeis guineensis (African oil palm). RNAcentral's name for it is "long non-coding RNA (EGUI_LNC006327)". The record is from RNAcentral. Lineage: Eukaryota; Viridiplantae; Streptophyta; Magnoliopsida; Arecales; Arecaceae.
CAGAAUAACCAUUGAAAAAAGACUAAUAUCAUGAUAUAACACUUAAAACAACAUAUAAAGCAGAGAUUGCAAAUGGUAGAUUUCCUUGUAUUCAGACUUAUAAUAGAUUGAUAAUAUUGCUGAUGGUACUUCAAGAGAAUAAUAUGAUUGCAGUAGCAGGACCUCGCAGGAAAGUACGGAGACAGUAAUUUUCUUGAAAAACCAACAUGGAACAACAGGCCGAGGGGACACCCAAACAUAUAAUAUAAAUUAUAAGAGAAUGAGAAAGAUCUGCCCCAAAAUUAUGAGCUGCUGCC